CGCCAAUUGUGAAUCCUUAAAGGAAUAAGGGACAUGGUCAUCAUUAUCAAAUAGGAACCGCGAACUGGCCGCCCCCAGGCAGGUGGGGCUUCCAGCGCCGCGGAAGGAGACACAGUGACAAGAGGGCCCCGGCUGCCCGGUUCUCACCAGGGUCUAAAAUGGGUCUGCUGUAAUGUCAGCCAGUGGGGGUCAGAUGCUUCUGCAGCUACUCAGAGGACUGCCCUGGAGAAAGUGCUGCUGAGUAACCAGAUCUGUGUUCUGUGUCUCCUGUUCUGACUACCUAGCAAAUGAUGUGAAGGCGACGGCAGCCGUGGACGUUCUGCCAGAUGAAGGCUCCCUCCUCCCAUAUCUGCUCUGGCUCCCUAUUGCCUGCAGGAGCAUGUUCUUCCUGGGCAUCACCACGACCUGUCAUGUAACCUCCGGGAUCCUCCUGACCCAGGCAGUGCACUGUCAUUCACACACGUUCAAUGUCUCCUGCUUUCCAGCCGCUGCUCCUGUCUUCUCCCCACAAUUCCACCCACCCAGAGCCUCUCUCACGGUCCGAGGAGAGCAGUGCACUCCUCCUUCCAUCUUCAGCACCCCAGACUUGGUCUCCAGUUAGGGGACUGUUUUCAAGGAAGCUGCAAACAAC
RNAcentral lists this long non-coding RNA (631 nucleotides) under Equus asinus (donkey). Its description in RNAcentral is "lncRNA (ENSEASG00005024303.1)". Lineage: Eukaryota; Metazoa; Chordata; Mammalia; Perissodactyla; Equidae. The record is from RNAcentral.